Molecule: ribosomal RNA, 458 nt
Filed under: uncultured bacterium
Lineage: Bacteria
Description: bacterial SSU rRNA
Rfam family: Bacterial small subunit ribosomal RNA
Source: RNAcentral
AGAGUUUGAUCAGUGGCUCAGGACGAACGCUGGCGGUGUGCUUCACACAUGCAAGUCGAACGAGGUAGCAAUACCUAGUGGCGGACGGGUGAGUAACGCGUGGGAAUCUGCCUUUAGAUGGGGGAUAACGGGUCGAAAGACUCGCUAAUACCGCAUAUGACGAAAGUUGAAAGGAGUAAUCCGUCUAAAGAUGAGCCCGCGUCCGAUUAGCUAGUUGGUAGAGUAAAAGCCUACCAAGGCGACGAUCGGUAGCUGGUCUGAGAGGAUGAUCAGCCACAAUGGGACUGAGACACGGCCCAUACUCCUACGGGAGGCAGCAGUGGGGAAUUUUACGCAAUGGGCGAAAGCCUGACGUAGCGACACCGCGUGAGCGAAGAAGCCCCUUGGGGUGUAAAGCUCUGUCAGCUGGAACGAAAAAAAUGACGGUACCAGCAGAGGAAGCAUCGGCUAACUACGUG